Molecule: long non-coding RNA, 1421 nt
Filed under: Macaca mulatta (Rhesus monkey)
Lineage: Eukaryota; Metazoa; Chordata; Mammalia; Primates; Cercopithecidae
Description: lncRNA (ENSMMUG00000058807.1)
Source: RNAcentral
CCCCUUCCCAGACCUAGGAGGAGUAAAGUAAAAGAGGGAGCGACCUUCCCACCAGGAAAAGUGGGUUCCUCAAUCUGGAAUCCCAGGGUCUACUUCUGGAAGAACUCUAGCAUAAUACCACUAGGACUCCACAAAACUGGCAAGCUCAAAGCAGCAGGUGGCAGGGAAGCAAAUGCCACCGGGUAUCACCGAGGACUAAAGCUCAGCAUUGAUGUUGGCCCUGCUGAAGGGGCAGGAGGGCUGGCCCAUCCCAUGGUGCCGCAGGCUGCGGCCACAUCUCACACCCUCCUGCGCUGAUGGUGGAAUGAGGUGUGGGUUGUUCCUGAGGUCCAGCUAACUUUGGGCUGCUAGAACAAAGAGAAAAACCCUUGGGUGCCAUCGGUAAAGUCACUACGCAGUUUCACUCCUCCAUUGGGUCCCUCAGAUAACUAAGCCUCCAAGAGCAAAAGGACAGCAAAGCCAGCCUGAACCGAGACUGCCUCAGCAUCAGACAGAAGUCACACGGACACGCUCCGCUCCAGCAGAAAAGCAGCUCGGCACUCACAGAUGGGCUCAGAGAUGAAAAGGACGAGGUCAACUGGGCACUGUGGCUCAUGCCUGCAAUCUCAGCUACUUGGGAGGCUAAGGCAGAAGCCAAGAGUUCAAGACUAGCCUGGGCAAAAUAGUGAGACCUUGUUUCUUAAACAAAUUUUAAAAUCUUAGCCAGGUGUGGCAGGUAGAUUGGUUGAGCCCAGGAGUUCCAGGCUACAGUGAGAUAUGGUUGCACCACUGCACUCUAACCUAGGUGACUAAGCAAGACUCCAUCUGUAAUUUGUUUUAAAAAGGAAGAAGUUGGCCAGACGCAGUGGCUUAUGCCUAUAAUCCCAGCACUUUGGGAGGCCAAGGCAGGCAGAUCACAAGGUCAGGAGUUUGAGCCUGGCCUGGCCAACAUGGUAAAACCCCGUCUCUACUAAAAAUACAAAACAAUUAGCUGGACAUGGUGGUGUGUGCCUGUAAUCCCAGCUACUCGGGAGGCUGAGGCAGGCGAAUCACUUGAACCCGGGAGGCAAAGGUUGCAGUGAGCUGAGAUCGAGCCAUUGCACUCCAGCCUAGGUGACAGGGCAAGACUCUGUCUCAAAAAAAAAAAAAAAAAAAAAGGAACAGAUUGGCCAGGCACGGUGGCUCACGCCUGUAAUCCCAGCACUUUGGGAGGCCAAGGCAGGUGGAUCACCUGAGGUCAGGAGUUUGAGACCAGCCUGACCAACAUGGUGAAACCCCAUCUCUACUAAAAAUACAAAAAUUAGCUAGGCAUGGUGGCGGGUGCCUGUAAACCCAGUUACUCAGGAGGCUGAGGCAGGAGAAUCACUUGAACCCAGGAGGUAAAGGCUGCAGUGAGCCAAGAUUGCACCACUGCACACCGGCCUUGGUGAGACAGAGUGAGG